GUAUUUAAUUGUCUCAAGAUUGUUUGGUGAACAUAAGGAAUCAAUGGAGAUACAGAUUUUACUGUUUUUCAUCUCUUGCUAUUAACCUUUACCUUUGGAACAUGAUGCUAAUAGAAAAUUUAUUUGCUUUCAAUGAAUAUUUUGUUCUUAAUUUUUUUCUUUUCCUUCUCCUUUAGGAUAAAAAUAAUUGAAACUGGUGCUUUUGACAAGUUGAUAUCACUCGAGUGGCUUUAUUUGGAUUCUAAUCAAUUGAUUAAACUUUCUCAUGAAACUUUUUAUCCAAUCAUUGAUUCACUCAAAGUCCUUGAUUUACAUGAUAAUCCGUUCGUCUGUCAUUGUGGUCUAGUUUGGUUUAGUGAAUGGGUUCGUGAUGAAGGUAAAUCAAUAGUCAAUAUGCCAGAUAAAACUGAAUGUCAACUGGCCCCUGAUUCACCUAA
Molecule: non-coding RNA, 437 nt
Organism: Tetranychus urticae (two-spotted spider mite)
Lineage: Eukaryota; Metazoa; Arthropoda; Arachnida; Trombidiformes; Tetranychidae
Source: RefSeq, a predicted model, not a curated record